RNAcentral lists this long non-coding RNA (1376 nucleotides) under Daphnia pulex (common water flea). RNAcentral describes it as "uncharacterized LOC124208912, transcript variant X1". Lineage: Eukaryota; Metazoa; Arthropoda; Branchiopoda; Diplostraca; Daphniidae. The record is from RNAcentral.
CCAGGUAACACCUACGUCUCGUUUACAUUGGCCCAGACGAGCCAAAGACGCUAUCACUUCACUCCCUUGUUGCUAAAGAACGGAAACGGGUAUCACUACGCAGUACAAGUUCAGACAAACGGUAAUUCAUAAGAGAAUAAGUUAUUCUUUAUAUCUUGUGCAUCCGAAAAUCCAACAAACAGCAGUCAAGAUAUAGCAGUGCUGGAUGCCUUCCACUUCUCCAUGGCGGGGAAAAACGGAUCAAAACCCGAUGAAAUUGUUACGACUAUGACAGCCUUGAUGCGUGUGACCAGUGCUUGACUCCUAGUUUGCUUUUCCCGAAAAGGAUUAGCAGCGGUGAGGACGAUACCUUUACAGUCAACAGCCGCUUCAGUUUCAACCCUAUACAUUUGACCUAAAGAAUUGAUUAAGUCACCGUCACUCGGCCUCCACAUCAGCAACCAACAGGGCAUCGCCAUGGACUACGUUUCAUGUGACGAAAUCAUUGCCACCAAGGGUGAUCUCAUUGCAUUUCGCCGGUUUUUCCUCUGGUUUUUCCUGCGUUUAUUUGUGCCGUCCAAGUUUAUUAAUUAUCGCCCGUGGCAAUGGCUUGUGUACUGUCAUUUUGCUGUCUGCACUGAAAGUGCAUCUGUAAGUGGAGAAAUUAUUCCCAAGGAAAUUUGUAACAGAAUCACUAUAGGCGUUGAUACCCCAAAGUGGUUUACGUGGUUUGGUAUACGGUUGCCGUUUAGUGUUACUAAACUUGUAGAGAAGACCAUGCAAACCCUGUGUGACCAACACGGGUGUCGAGUGAACAAUCAUGACGAGUUUGCCAGAAAAAAAAAAUUGGUCAUCAAUACACCUGACGAUGUUGUUAAAAGGGCUCGGGAGUUUCUCAGGGAUAACCAGCAUCCCAUCAUGUUUUACAAUGUGCUGAUUAAGAAUUGUGAACAUUUUGCCACCCUGUGUAGGUAUGAGAAAGCCUUUAGUCUCCAAGUCCCUGGUUGGAUUUCGAAGACGUUCGAUUUUAUUUUCAUGUUGUGUUCCAUGUUGUGUUCCAUGUUGUGUUGGUUUUUUUAUAAGUUCUUUAAACCGCCACCUGGAGUUGAUAAUACGAGUGUUAUCAUGAAAGAAGUCAGAGCGAAUGAACAAAGAAACAAUAAUAUGCCUAUUGAAGAAUUGCAGUAAUAAUUAAGAUUAUAAUUACUUCAAUUUUUAGCGUUGCUCAUGCCUUAAGAUGGAUGCCACAUUGUUUGUUCAGCGCAUUGUUCAUUUUAUCUCUUCAAACCUCAGUAUGGUAUAGUAGAAAAAUAGCCAAAGAAAUAGUCUGUCUGGUGUUAUGUUCUAUGUAACGCGGGAAAGAAAAUUAAAAAUUAAAUAAAGUAAAUUUGAAUUCA